This 34-nucleotide transfer RNA is filed under the name Chrysanthemum dichrum. RNAcentral's name for it is "Chrysanthemum dichroum partial tRNA-Phe". Lineage: Eukaryota; Viridiplantae; Streptophyta; Magnoliopsida; Asterales; Asteraceae. The record is from RNAcentral.
UUGGGAUAGCUCAGUGUAGAGCAAGAGUGCGUUU